MicroRNA precursor from Gadus morhua (Atlantic cod), 61 nucleotides. Ensembl annotates it as gmo-mir-199-1. Its record names the gene gmo-mir-199-1. Lineage: Eukaryota; Metazoa; Chordata; Actinopteri; Gadiformes; Gadidae. The record is from Ensembl.
CCCAGUGUUCAGACUACCUGUUCAGGCUCUUACUGGUGUACAGUAGUCUGCACAUUGGUUA